Molecule: small RNA, 28 nt
Filed under: Bombyx mori (domestic silkworm)
Lineage: Eukaryota; Metazoa; Arthropoda; Insecta; Lepidoptera; Bombycidae
Description: ovarian small RNA-15305
Source: RNAcentral
GAAUGCCUGUGGUUGGCCUGAAGGGCGU